CUCGCGAUAGUUUAAAUCAAAACAUUAGCUUUGCAAGUUAAUAAUGGAGCAAAUCUCCUCGAGUGA
Molecule: transfer RNA, 66 nt
Filed under: Crassiplana albatrossi
Lineage: Eukaryota; Metazoa; Platyhelminthes; Polycladida; Callioplanidae
Description: tRNA-Ala
Rfam family: tRNA
About the family: Transfer RNA (tRNA) molecules are approximately 80 nucleotides in length. Their secondary structure includes four short double-helical elements and three loops (D, anti-codon, and T loops).
Source: RNAcentral